GACGAACGCUGGCGGCGUGCUUAACACAUGCAAGUCGAACGGAAAGGCCCUGCUUUUGUGGGGUGCUCGAGUGGCGAACGGGUGAGUAACACGUGAGUAACCUGCCCUUGACUUUGGGAUAACUUCAGGAAACUGGGGCUAAUACCGGAUAGGAGCUCCUGCUGCAUGGUGGGGGUUGGAAGUUUCGGCGGUUGGGGAUGGACUCGCGGCUUAUCAGCUUGUUGGUGGGGGAGUGGCUUACCAAGGCUUUGACGGGUAGCCGGCCUGAGAGGGUGACCGGCCACAUUGGGACUGAGAUACGGCCCAGACUCCUACGGGAGGCAGCAGUGGGGAAUAUUGCACAAUGGGCGGAAGCCUGAUGCAGCAACGCCGCGUGCGGGAUGACGGCCUUCGGGUUGUAAACCGCUUUCGCCUGUGACGAAGCGUGAGUGACGGUAAUGGGUAAAGAAGCACCGGCUAACUACGUA
This 467-nucleotide ribosomal RNA is filed under the name uncultured bacterium. Its description in RNAcentral is "partial 16S ribosomal RNA". It matches the Rfam family "Bacterial small subunit ribosomal RNA", at positions 28 to 507 of the family's 1533-position model. The record is from RNAcentral.